This 394-nucleotide ribosomal RNA is filed under the name uncultured ciliate. Its description in RNAcentral is "partial small subunit ribosomal RNA". It matches the Rfam family "Eukaryotic small subunit ribosomal RNA", at positions 30 to 432 of the family's 1831-position model. The record is from RNAcentral. Lineage: Eukaryota; Ciliophora.
GCUUGUCUCAAAGAUUAAGCCAUGCAUGUCUAAGUAUAAACAACUUUAUACUGUGAAACUGCGUACAGCUCAUUAUAUCAGUUAUAAUUUAUUUGAUGGUGAUUUACUACAUGGAUAACCGUGGUAAUUCUAGAGCUAAUACAUGCUAUAUGCCCGGCUUCUGGCAGGGCUGUAUUUAUUAGAUACUAAACCAGUGUCGCAAGACAUUGUGGUGAAUCACAGUAACUGAUCGAAUCGGCGCGCAAGCGGCGAUAAAUCAUUCAAGUUUCUGCCCUAUCAGCUUUCGAUGGUAGUGUAUUGGACUACCAUGGCAGUCACGGGUAACGGAGAAUUAGGGUUCGGUUCCGGAGAGGGAGCCUGAGAAACGGCUACCACAUCUAAGGAAGGCAGCAGG